RNAcentral lists this ribosomal RNA (406 nucleotides) under uncultured bacterium. Its description in RNAcentral is "partial 16S ribosomal RNA". It matches the Rfam family "Bacterial small subunit ribosomal RNA", at positions 29 to 526 of the family's 1533-position model. The record is from RNAcentral.
AAUGAACGCUGGCGGCAGGCCUAACACAUGCAAGUCGAACGAGUGGCGGACGGGUGAGUAAUGUCUGGGCCCCUGCCUGAUGGAGGGGGAUAACUACUGGUAACGGUAGCUAAUACCCCCUACCAUCAACUGUGCCCAGAGGGGAUUAGCUAGUUGGUGGGGUAACGGCUCACCAAGGCCACGAUCCCUAGCUGGUCUGAGAGGAUGACAGGCCACACUGGAACGGAGACACGGACCAGAGUCCUAAGAGAGGCAGCAGUGGGGAAUAUUGCACAAUGGGCGCAAGCCUGAUGCAGCCAGGCCGCGUGUAUGAAGAAGGCCUUGGGGUUGUAAAGUACGUUCAGCGGGGAGGCGUUACCCGCAGAAGAAGCACCGGCUAACUCCGUGCCAGCAGCCGCGGUAAUUC